RNAcentral lists this ribosomal RNA (468 nucleotides) under uncultured bacterium. RNAcentral's name for it is "partial 16S ribosomal RNA". It matches the Rfam family "Bacterial small subunit ribosomal RNA", at positions 28 to 507 of the family's 1533-position model. The record is from RNAcentral.
GACGAACGCUGGCGGCGUGCUUAACACAUGCAAGUCGAACGGUGAAGCCCCAGCUUGCUGGGGUGGUUCAGUGGCGAACGGGUGAGUAACACGUGAGCAACCUGCCCCUGACUCUGGGAUAAGCGCUGGAAACGGCGUCUAAUACUGGAUACGAGAAGGGUCCGCAUGGGCACUUUCUGAAAAGUUCGGCGGUUGGGGAUGGGCUCGCGGCUUAUCAGCUUGUUGGUGGGGUAAUGGCUUACCAAGGCGAUGACGGGUAGCCGGCCUGAGAGGGCGACCGGCCACACUGGGACUGAGACACGGCCCAGACUCCUACGGGAGGCAGCAGUGGGGAAUAUUGCACAAUGGGCGAAAGCCUGAUGCAGCGACGCCGCGUGAGGGAUGACGGCCUUCGGGUUGUAAACCGCUUUCGGCAGGGAAGAAGCGAGAGUGACGGUACCGGCAGAAGAAGCACCGGCUAACUACGUG